This 40526-nucleotide long non-coding RNA is filed under the name Citrus x clementina. Its description in RNAcentral is "Citrus clementina (C. clementina) long non-coding RNA (CCLE_LNC005230)". The stretch from base 35593 to 35699 matches the Rfam family "Plant small nucleolar RNA R71". Lineage: Eukaryota; Viridiplantae; Streptophyta; Magnoliopsida; Sapindales; Rutaceae. The record is from RNAcentral.
CGGGUCGAUGAUGCCAGCAGCAAUGAGACUGCAAUUAUCACUUGUUUAGUUUCUGUGCUUGCCGUGGUUUACUUCGCAUGGAAUGUGAAAAAAUCAAGGAAAGCAAAUGCUACACUGCCACCAGGACCUCGCGGCUUGCCUGUAUUCGGAUACCUCCCAUUUCUUGGAACUACUGACUUGCACAAGAAAUUCACGGAAUUAUCCGGAGUUUAUGGUCCGAUCUUCAAGCUUUGGCUUGGAAAUAAAUUAUGUGUAGUGGUGAGCUCACCUUCCCUAAUUAGACAAGUGGUUCGUGAUCAAGAUACAACAUUCGCGAACCGUGACCCACCGAAGGCUGCACUAGUGGUCUCCUAUGGUGGCAAUGAUAUUGCAUGGUCCAAUUACGGUCCCGAAUGGAGAAAGUUGCGCAAAUUUUUUGUGGGCAAGAUGAUGAAUAACGAAAGCCUUGAUGCUUGUUAUGCUCUAAGAAAACAAGAGGUUAAAAAUACUAUCAGGGAUUUGUAUAACAACGACAACAAAAUUGGCAAGCCCAUUGACAUUGGUGAAUUGUCGUUUUCAACAUUGGUAUGUGCUAUACAGAACAUGCUGUGGGGUGAAGCGCUUGAAUUAAAAGAGAAAGGGACCACUAAUCUUAGGGCUGGGCUAAAAUUUAAGCUGGCAGAACUCAUGGUGCUUGCGGGAACACCGAAUAUUUCGGAUGUCUUUCCAAUGCUUUCAUGGCUCGACAUACAAGGUAUAGAGAGGAGAGCAAAGAAGAUUUCACUCUGGCUUGAUAAUGUUAUAAAUUCUACUGUUGAACAGCAUAGAAACAAGGAGUUAACUGUUGAAGGUGAAGAAAGAGCGGGGAAAAAUUUUGAAGGAUCAAGGAACAAGAACUUCUUGCAGUUACUAUUGGAGCUUCAAGAAAAUGAUGACAGUGCUUCCUCAAUUAGCAUGAACCAAUUCAAGGCCGUACUCGCGGUAUGUUAAGCAACUAGCCACGAACAGUUAUACAAGCACAGUUGUAUAUUUGCAUGAGUGAUAUUUUCAACCUUUUUUUUUUAAUUAGAAUUUUAUUGUCACCUUUUGGACAGGAUAUAAUUACGUCUGGAACCGACACCACAACUACGAUGGUGGAAUGGACAAUGGCAGAGUUGAUGCAGCAUCCACAAGUAAUGAAGAAAGUUCAGGAAGAAUUAGCUCAAGUUGUGGGCAUGGACAGUUGUGUUGAAGAAUUUCACCUGUCUAGAUUAAUGUAUUUAGAUGCUGUGGUGAAGGAAACAUUUCGUCUGCAUCCUGCAGUGCCUUUAUUACUACCACGUAGGGCAAGCGAGAGUAGCAACAUCGGUGGCUAUAACAUUCCCAAAGAUACAACUAUUAUGUUGAAUGUUCGGGCAAUCCACAGGGACCCUAAACUUUGGGAUAAUCCCUUACAAUUUCGACCCGAGAGGUUUCUAGAUGACGGUAUCGCGAGUAAGUUCGAUUACUCAGGUAACAAUUUUCAGUACUUGCCAUUUGGUUCUGGUAGAAGAAUGUGUGCUGGGAUUGCUCUAGCUGAGAGGAUGCUGAUGUUUGUUCUGGCUUCCUUAUUGCACUCAUUCGAGUGGGAAUUGCCAACUGGCACAAAGCUAAACUUAUCAGAAAAAUUUGGGAUUGUCAUUAAGAAAAAAGAGCCAUUGGUUGCUAUUCCAACACCAAGACUAUCCAAUUCAGAGCUCUACCAUUAAGACAAUGGUUGUGAUGAUUUUGUUAAUUUCCGAAGAUUUGUAUGUUAUUUUAAGUUCAAUCGUAAUAAAAUAUUUCAAAUAAGAGUCCUCCGUUGCUUUUUUUUUUUUUUCAACGGCAUAAUCUGUCGUCAUGCUUGUAUUUGGAGCUACUUUGUAAUAAUUAUGUUUGAAUUACAAUUUAUAAAUAUUACAUUUUAAAAUUUUAUGAGAGUCUAAAUUUAUACACGUUCAAUAACCCGCUUCAUACAUAUUUAACACAAUUUAUAUCAUACAUUGUACACCCAUUUGUCAUAAAUUACACUAUUUUGUAUCUCUAAAUAAUAUUACGUAUUGAUAUUAUAAUAUAUAUAUAUAUAUAUAUAUAUAUAUAUAUAUAUAUGUUUAUCAAAAGACGAUACCAUUCAAUAUAUAUUGAAAAGUGAACAAAGAAAAUUUUCUUAUGGUUUAAAAAUAUUAUGAAUUCUGCUGUUGAACAGUAUGGAAACAAGGUCUCUGUUGUUAAAGGUGAAGAAGCAACAGGGAACAAUAUUGAAGGAAGAAAUUUCACAUGUUUAGUUGCUGAAUUUGCCGCUGUAUUCUAUCGGUAGCAAAAAGAUUAGAGUUUUUAUUUUUCUCUAUUAAUGUUAAGUCAAUUUUCUAUAACAAAUUCGGUUGAGUUUAAUUGUGUUACAAUAUAAAUUGAAUGAUAAUAGAAUUUUCAACGAAUAUUUCAAUAUAUUUGUUAUGCGAUGGAUUUUAAAAUUUAUAAAAUUAUUUGUUACUAAAUUGCAUCAUAUGCUAAAAUCACCUGAAACCUAAUUCCAUAACUAACCCUUUAUUUUUAGUUCUCAAGAAAUCUUGUAAGAACAAAAUUCUUUUAUAACAAAACUUUUACAACAAAUUAAUUUGUAACUCAUUCCUGUGCGAGAAUCGCUCUCAAUUUCCUUCAAUUGCUGUUGAACAAUCAUCUGCUUAUCAAAAUUCAAGCAUAAUCUUUUUUUUUUUUUAAUUUCUUCAUCAUUCUUUUGAAAAAAAAAUCAGGAUAUGCUGUUAAAUUUUGAAAUAAAUUAUCUCAAAAUAAUUACUAAGCAGAAAAAACAAAGGGGUUUAACUAGGCUAUGCACCUUUGAAAAUUAUAUGUUGAUCGAUAAGAAUGAUGAUCACGAUUGAGGAGUUUAAUUAAAAUAUAUAAGAUUUUAAAAUUAAUCAAGGUUAAAUUGUGAAUUUUAGAAAGAGAGGUUUUGUGAGAAUGCUGAAAGGGUCUUAAUAGUUCCACUCUUUUUAAAAGCAACCAUAGUCAUCAUUUUUCCCGAUUUCUUCUUCCCAUCUCCAUCUUACUUAGAAAUUUCCCAGAGCCUUUGUUUCCCACCUUUCAUUUUUCUUCUUUCUAAUUUAAUAUUAUAGUAUUAUAAAAAUAAUUACUCACAUUUUAUCAAACACCUCCAUUCUACCAAGGCCUUGUUUUAGUAGUAGGCUUUUAUUAUCUCAAUAAAAUUGAAAAAACAAAUCUCAAUAAUAUUGGAAAAAAAAAACCUACCCAUAUUUGUAACUUUAAUUUAUUAUUCUGCAUAGACCUACUUUUUAGCUUUGAAUUUUGUUGGAGCCAUGUAUAAACAGAAUAUGUUGAAAUCAGCACCAAAAAAAAAAAACUAAUUAUAUAAUUUCUGUUCCCAAGGACAUGACUGAGUGAUUCUCAAGAAGUUUUGUUUGGCUGGCUACUUAGGUUUAAAUCUUGGUGGAGAUUAGGGGUUAAGAAAUAAAUUUGGACUUUGCACACCCCUUUAACUUUUAAAAAGAAAUGAAAAAAACUAAUUAAUAAUCUUUAUUUUAUUUAUUAAAUGUCAUAAUCCUAUGCGUAUUUUAUUUGUUAUCUUUCUAUUUAAAAGACAGGAGGGCAGAUAAAACUGAAAUAAAUUUUUAGCCCUAUCUCCAUCUUUCAAAUUUCAUAGUUAGGUGACCAGCUAAAGAAAAUUAAUUGAAAACUACUCCAUCAAAUUAAAAAUUUUUAUUUAUUUAAUUUGUGGAGAUGUAGAAAAUCAAACCCCAUGCCUUUUCGCAUGCAAAAGUGUCAACCUGAUCUAGCUAUGUUGCAACAGUGAACAUAUUUCAAUACAUGACUAUCAUCCUUUAUCGUAAAUACUACUAUAACUAAUAACAUACAAUUGAAAUAAUUAGUGUUAACACUUGGCUAUAAAAAAAAGGUUUUGUGCUUGAAUCUUCACGCAUGACCUUCAUUCCCUUAUUGACUUUGCUAACACAGAUUUUGAGGCAUUAAAACUAAAUAAUAAUUGACUUUGUGGGCCGAGGAUGCCAGCAACAAGGAGACCACAAUUAUCACUUGUUAAGUUACUCUAAUUGCGGUUGUCUUAUAUUCAUAGAAUAUUAGUAAUAAGAUUAUUGUAGAAUUUUUUUAUAUUAAAAUCAAGUCAAUUUGUUAUAACAAAUUUAGUUGAAUUUAAUCGUAUUACCACAUAAAUUGAAUAAUAAUAGAAUUCUCGACAAUAUUUCAAUAUUUUAAUCUCAAGCAUUGGAGUGGCAUUUAUUUGUUAUACGGUCGAUUUUAGAAAUUUUCAAAUUAUUCGUUACUGAAUUGCACCAUAUGCUGCAUCACCUGGAACUUACUAAACGGAACGUAGCGUUGGCACCGUUACUCAACAUUCACUGUUACGACUUUGUGACAUUAGAAUUAAAAUCUUUUCCACAUUUAAUUUAUUUACUUCCAAAUUAAUAUUUAACAAAAUAUUUUUUCACAUUAUCAAUGGACAAAACUCCAACGAAAAUAACUAUUCAAGAAAAAUGUAUGCUAGCAUUAUAUGCCAUAUCAUCUGUAAUUUUGUCAGGAUCGAUCAUUCUAAUUUCUAAGCAGAACUUUUUAUCAAUGGACAAACACCUCACACAGCUUGUCAGAGGCAUUAUUAUGAUGGAAAACUGCAAUGGUAUAUCUUGAAUUAUUGGUAGAAUAGUUCUUUGGAGCAAUAAAAACAGAUAAGACAGAUGAGAAAAUUGUCAAUACCCCACCGCAAAAGCAAAAGAAAAAAAGGAAAGGAGACAAAAGAGGAAGAAGAAAAAGAAAAAAGAACGAAGAAAAAAAUGGUGCCACGCGGUAUAGGGAAGAAGAAAAAAAAUUAAUAAAAUAAUAGUGCAUAGCAGUCAUGUGAUUGCUAUAAAUAAAGGGGCGUUUCCCUCAUUUUAUUCUUCGAAUUCUUCAGUGCCUUUUAAGCGAUUUAAGAGUCUAGUGAUUUGAGAGUUUGAGUGUAUUAUGAUUUUAAAUAGGGAGAUAAAAUACUAUAAUACUUGUAACUCAUUUUUAUUAGUAAAAUAUUUUCCUUCUAUUUUCGCCCGUGGGCGUAGGCUAAAAGCUAAACCACAUAAUUUCUGGUGUCUCUAUGUAAUUAUGUGUCUCAUUAUUUCUUAAUUUUACUUUAGUUGCGUGUCUGCUACACCCUUCAAUUUACUAACAAAAAUCGCCAAAAUUAUAUAAGCGGCCCAAAUUUUUUGCUAUUUUCAAGAAAUCCCCAAUCUGAAUGGACCAGACCAAAGGGAGGCAAGUUAGAAAUACGUUUCCUUCAGACAAUAACAGCUAUGAGUCGAUGACAUCAAGCCACGUCGAUAUCAAUAUUGAAUUAAAGGUGUAAUUAUUCAGCAAAUGAGCCUUACACAUCAAGAUAAAAGUCAAGAAAAUGAAAAUUUAUCCCAAUUAAAACACUUUCUUGCUGCAUUUAGUUGUUUCCAUUUGAAGUUAAAAACAACGUUUCGUUCGUUUUGUGGGCAACUCGACUGAGUUAGCUGGCUUCUAGUGCUAGUAUGUGAAAAUAGAAGGCUAAUGAUUUAUUUGUUAUCUUUUGAUAAAAUUAUUAAAGAUAUAAUAUAUUUUCCAUGAUAUAAGUGAAAAAUCACAUCAACAUAGUUUCCAAGCUACAGCAGCUAGUGUUUACCAAACACUUUGCUGUAUCUUUUAAGCUACAACUGCCCAACCUCAAUCACAAACGCACCCUUAAUAGGUUGAUUGAAUUUGUGGGAUAUAGAUUCCACAUAUCUCAUGACCUAGUAAUUAUACAAGUGGUUCGUGAUCAAGAACAACAUUUACUUCCGGCCUAGUGACCUAGCAACUGCUGCAUUGGUCGCCACCUAUGGUGUCGACGAUAUUGCAUGGUCCAAUUGUGGCCUUGAAUGAAAAAAGUUGAGCAAAUUAUUUGUGGGCACGAUGAUAAGUAACGCAAGCCUUGAUUCUAGUUAUGGUCGAAGAAAACAAGAGGUUAAGAAUACUAUCAGAGAUAUUCAUAACAACAAAAAGGAAAAAAAAAAAAAGGCAUUGGCAAGUCCAUUGAUAUUGGUGAAUUGUCGAUUUCAACUUUGGCUUGUGUAAUUUAGAACCUGCGCAUUGUGGUAUGGCACUGGCAUGCUUGCAUUGACUUGGGGACAAAUCUUGGGGCUGAGCUAAAUUUAGGGUUGUAGAACUCAUGGUGCUAAUGGGAACACCAAAUAUUUUUUGACAUAUUUCGGUGCUUUCAUGGUUUAAUUCAAGGUAUAAAAAGGAGUGUUGAGAAUGUCAAAUAAAACGACAUUGAAUGGAAGUUUUCAAAGACAUGAUCCGCACUGAACGGUAACGACAUGGUUGGUGAAGAUUUUUCCGUAAUACGAGUAUCUAAAUUUUGAAAAAUUAUAACCUCUGCAUCUAUAAAUAUGCUCAAUGUAUAAUGUUUUACUUAAGAAAUGAAAAACUUGUUUCUUCAUGGUAUCAGAGCGAGGUUCACUGCCCUUUAGGCUUGGCAAAACCCCAGGUCCGGUCUGGGUUUAGUGCAAAUCGGGACCGGAUCGGCUGCCAAAAAUUGAAACCCGGGCUCGAAAAAAACCCAGCUUUUGCAUGUCCGGUCCGGGCUUGAGCCCGGCGUGUCCUGGGUCCGGAUUUUGUCUUCCAAGCUUCUAAGCCCGCAAACAAUUAUUUCAAAAAAAAUUAAAAAAGGCUCAAAACAGGCUCACAGCAGCAAGUCAGCAAUAUAAAAUUAAAAAAGGGAAAAGGAUUUGGCCGAAAAAACAGAGCAACAGUAAUCACAAAUUCACAAGCUCACAGCAAGUCAGCAACCAUGCACAAAAUUGGUCGAAGAUAAACACAAAUAGCAACAGCCAACAGAGAAGCAAUCGACAAAAAUGCAACUGGGAAGACAAAAUUUAUUAUUUCGCUAAUAGACCUAUAAUGUUCUAAUGUCUUUUCAUUUUAUUUAAAAUACCAAGAAAAGAAAAGGUGAAAUCCAUAUAUGUUGUUAGGCCAAUUACCUAAGGUGUCUGCUCAAGAUUCAAGAAACACAAUGACCAGGUAAUUAAACAAGGAGCAAAGUCACUUGCUAUAUAAAUAAAUAAAUAAAUAUAUGGAGAGAGGGCUAAAACUGAUGAGGCUGAGAAGGAGAGCUCGAAACAGAAGGCAAAAGAGUUGGAUGAGGAGGUUGCUCGUCGUGAUAUGUAAUGAUCGACGAAAAAGACAAAAUGAUUGCAGAUAAGGGAAAAAUGGUUGAUUAGUUGAAGAAGGAAAGACAAGUUAAGCAUGAUGAAAAUAUUUUACUGGAGCAACAGCCGCAACCAAGCAAAAUCGAGUCAGCAAAUGCCAAACCAGAAGAGAUGAUGCCCACUGUCGAGUACCGAGGGGCGACGGUGACGAACUGACGGUGGGUAGCCGGUGGCAGCGUUGCUGCUUAUGUCUUUGGGUUUGGGUAACUGGGGUCUGGGGAAUUCGAAUUAGGGAUUUGGGUGUUUUGCGAUUUGGGUUUGGGUAACUGGUUUUACAUUUUUUUUUUAAGUUUAUUCGGAAAACGGGUUCGGAUUCUGGGUUUUUGGUGCUGAACCCAGAUCGUGCCCGGAAAUGUCCGGGUUUUAAAUUCUGAAACCCGGAUCCGCUUUUGCAGUAUAUGCGGUCUGGGUUUUGUUCGGACCGGAUUGGCCGGGUCUGGGCCGGAUCCGGUCCGGGCGGGUUUUUUUGACACCCCUAACUGCCCUGUUUGUAACAAAAGCAAAGAAAACUAAAUUCCUCCCACAACCAUUUUUCCACUAUUUUUUCUUCCUUAAAAGCAUUUCUAGCAUUACAGAAACCCAUGCCAAUAAAAGAACAAGCCACACAUACGUAAAAACUUAAGUUUACAAAUCUAUCAAUAGUCCCAUAAAUUUUCCCAAGAAGUGUCUUCAAAAACCAAAAAUAUCAUCAAUUUUCUCAGCUUCCAAUAAACAAACUAUAAAAGUUUCGCACUCAAACACAGCCACACGCGCGCCUCCACGCGCUUCCCGGAAUCACGGCCAACCACCACGCGCCUCCGUCACCACUAACUCACCCUCACGCGCUCCAGAGGUUGCAGAAGACGCAAAACAACGUGUCGUUUUCGUCUCUAGAAGUGCAGCAGCUUGGAAAAUGACUCGUCGUUUUUAUUUCGUUAGAAACGACAUGUCGUUUUCUUAAGCAGAAACAAAACAACUUGUUAUUUUUGCCUUAAAUUUUUUUUCCUCAUUUGAAGCUAUACAACAUUUUUCUUUCUAAACUUGUUUUUUGCAAUAAAAAAAGAAAAAAAAUGGAGAAAACUCCAACUGAAUCUACUCAUGUUGUCAUUCAAUCUGUUCAACCUGAUGGGGUAUUUAAUGCCAGAAUUAUCCUUACUAAGACAAACUACAAUAUUUGUUCUCAAAUUAUGGAGAUGCAUCUCACAGAAAGAAAACAAAACUCUCAUAUAUUCAUAGCAGCACAAAGCCAUCUGACAAAUUUUCAAAGGAAUAUGAGAAAUGGUAUAGUGAGAACCAAAAUGUAAAAAGAUGGUUACUUAUAUCCAUGUGUCCUGAGAUCAUGAAGCGAUAGUUCUGAAUUCCUACAGUUUACAAAAUUUGGAAUGCAUUAUCAAAAGUCUUCUAUGAUGGAAGCGAUGAAAUACAAGUUUUCACUCUAAACCAGAAGGCGUUCUCUACGAAGCAAAAUGGACAACCACUCUCUAAAUUCUACGGAUAAUUGAUCGAAGUAUUUGAAGAACUUAAUCAUCGAGAUAAAGUGGUCAUGAAGGAUCCAGAAGAUGUUAUAAUAUACAGAAAGUCUAUUGAAAGAUUGAGAGUGCACAUUUUUCUUGUUGGGCUAGAUGAAGAAUUUGACCAAGUUUGUGGAGAAAUUCUACGAAAAGAUACUAUCCCAGACUUAGAAAAAUGUUAUUCUAUAAUCCGAAAAGAAGAUGUACGGCAAAGCAAACUAAACAAGAAGGUGGACGACUCAGAAACGUCUGCUAUGAUAGCACGAGAGAACAAUGUUUUGAAAUUGUUGGAUAUCCUGACUGGUGGCAUACUCGAAAGAAUAACACAAAGCAGGGAUCAAAAACUGCAGUAGCGGAAUCCACAUCCACUACAGAUCUUAGAAAAGAAUCUUCAGCGCAAAUUGCAACCUCUGUCAAUUCAGGUAAGGUCCUUAAAACUCUUACAUCUGUUAUUAAUAUUAUAUGAAUAAUUGAUUAUGGUGCAACUGAUCAUAUGACUUUUGAUUCUCGAUAAGUUUCUCAAUUGAAACCAUCUUCACAAAAACAUGUUUCCACUGUAAAUAGAACCACAACCUCAGUUAUUGGGGAAUGAUCUUUACAACUCACAGUUAAAUUAAAUUUAGACUAUGUGUUAAUUGUUCAAUCUUUAAAUUAUAAUCUUUUAUAUGUGUCUCAAAUAACCACUUACUUAUCACGUGUUGUAAUGUUUUGGUCCGAUCAUUGCGUGUUUAAGGACAUCCAAACGAAGCAAACGAUUGGUUAUGGUAUCAAACGAGGCAACUUGUAUUACCUGGAGAUGACAUCAAUAAACACUGAAAAGUUAAGCCCCGCAUUAGUAGCAGACAGUUCCAUGAAGAAAAAGGAAAUAAGAAAUUUGGUUAUGGCAUAGACGUUAGGGCAUGUGUCAUUUGGUUACUUAAAAAAAUUGUUUCCUAAUUUGUUUAUGAAAUUUGAUGUUUGUAACUUUAAAUGUGAUGUUUGUGAACUUUCAAAUAGCCAUCGAACUACUUUUCAAUUGUCCUUAAAUAAGAAUCCAGUUCCUUUCAUGGUAGUACAUUCUGAUGUAUGGGGACCAUCUAAAGUUUCUACCAUUGGACGAGCUCGUUGGUUUGUUACAUUUAUUGAUGAUUGUAGCAGAUUGACAUGGAUUUUUUUGAUGAAAUCAAAAGAUGAAGUAAACUCUUAAUUUAUUUCAAAGAUUUCAUAUGAUGGCAACGACUCUAUUUCAGACACAAAUUUGAGUUCUACAUACUGAUAAUGGAGGCAAUUAUAUGAGCACAACAAUUCAACAGUUUUUGAAAUCAAAAUGACUUGACCACCAAAUCACUUGUGUAGGGACACUCCAACAAAAUGGCAUUGCUAAGCGGAAAAACAGACAUUUACUAGAAGUUGUUCAAGCAUCACUAAUCUAGGCCCGCAUGCCAGUAUUUUAUUGGGGAGGAGCACUGGCAUCCGCAACAUACUUGAUCAAUCGAACACCUUCAAUCUCCCUUGGAUUCCAAACUCCUUUUCUGGUUCUAAAUGAAGAAUUAUGUCAUCAAAUGUGCCGAAUUUACCCCCACAUAUGUUUGGUUAUGUGUUGCCUUCGUUCAUUUGCCACGACAAGACAAAUUAUCUCCUCGAGCACUACGUUGUGUAUUUGUAGGGAAUGCCUUACAUAAAAAAGGGUACCGAUGCUAUCAUUCUCUAUUAAGAAAAAAUAUACAUCACCAUGGACGUCGUCUUUUAUGAAGAUAUCAUGUACUACCCAUCAGAGCCUGAAUUUCAGGGGGAGUAUAAUGAAGAGGAAAUUCAUAUUCUUUCAUAUCUUCCACCUGAAGAAGAUCAAUCCUCCAUUGAGGUAGUAAACCUUCAAGAUACUGGAAAAGAAAAUGGCGAUGAUUCUCAGGCUAAGACAAGUGAAUACACAUUUGGGGAGCAAAAUAACUCAGACAUAACCAUAAUCGAGAAUGAGUCCAUGAAGAACCACAUGAAGAAAUAUCUAACCAAUCGUCUGCAGAGGAUGAUCCUACCACAAAUCCUAGUCUAAUAAGAAGAAUACUUCCCCAGCAUCAAAAUAGAGGUAUCCCUAAACCCACAUAUAAGCCUAACCUCUCUAGUAGAGUCAAAUACCCUAUAAGUCAUUUUGUGUCUAACCAUCGCUUGUUAGAAUCAAAUUAGUCAUUUGUGAAUCAAUUAUCUACUGUGUCUAUUCCUAACAGUGUGCAGGAAGCCUUAAAAAAUCCAAAGUGGAAAGCAGCUAUGAAUGACGAAAUGAGAUCUCUUCAAAAAAAUCAAACAUGGGAACUAGUUGAUCUUCCACCAGGAAAGAAACCAGUGGGUUGCUCUUCAGAAGUAUUUGUUGAGAGAGUUUGAGAUGAAGGAACUCAAAAAUAAAAAUAAAAAUAAAAAUCAUACCCAAUAAAAGAGAAAAAAUAAUCCACAAAAAAUCAUCAAGAAAAUAAAUUUGAGACUAAGAGACACCCUGGGUUGCCUUGGAACCACGGCUUUGGCUUCCAUUUUUCAAUUCUUGGCUACAAGUAAUUUAUUGUUUGUUUACAAAGAUGACGGCUGAUUAAUGAAGCUCUAUUAACAAUGAAUGAAUCAAAAAACUUGAGCCUUGAAAAGACUAACGGUCAUAUUUUUCCAACUCCGAAUUAGUGCGUUUGAUGAGUCCUUGCCAAAACAAUCACUCGGCAAAUAACGAUCAUUUUUCAACCAGCAAAACUCAUUCAUUGUUUCUCACGUUAGUUAAGAUUUAAAAAUUGUUUCAAAAUAAGCCUAGUGGUUAGAACCCAAGCGUCACAAUUGUGAGGUCAUGGGUUCGAGCCCCCUCAACAUAUUGUGGGGGUUAAUUUCCUUCUUCAAUUUGAGUGAAGACGGUUCUCUCCCUUUCGAAAUGUGAGUAGAGUGGACGUCCCUCAAAUAUUAGAGAGGGUUAAAAUCUAGGUUGUACUAUAUAAGAUUUGUAAAUUAGUCCCAGUAAUUGUCUGAUUGUAAAUAUCAAUAUACUAAUCUAAUUAAAUAUGAGUUGUAAUCUGAGCAUCAAUAUCAGUUAAUAGGUUGAUUGAAUAUAUGUGGUAAAGAUUCCACGUAUCUCAUGACGGAAUGCUGACCCUAUCUACUUUUACGCGAUUAUUUCACGAGCUUAGGCACGACAAUUGCAAUACAAAUUAUCCCCUCAUCGUAUAUUUCGUUAAAAUUCAUUCUGAAACACUAAACAAUCGAAUAUGGCUUUGCGGGUCGAUGAUGCCAGCAGCAAUGAGAGUGCAAUUAUCACUUGUUUAGUUUCUGUGCUUGCCGUGACUUAUUUCGCAUGGAAUGUGAAAAAAUCAAGGAAAGCAAAUGCUAAACUGCCACCAGGACCUCGCGGCUUGCCUGUAAUCGGAUACCUCCCGUUUCUCGGAACUACUGACUUGCACAAGAAAUUCACGGAAUUUAUUUUACUAUUAUAUUUUUAUUCAAAAUAAUUUUAAUUAGCUUUUAAAAUGAAUGAUUUUAGGAAAUAUAAAUAAAGGUAACUAAGAAUUCUCUUAAUGCAAUAUAUUAUUAAUUAGUUUAAAAAUACAAAUUUAUUAAUUAGAGAAAUUAUUAGUGAAUUUAAAUUAAUGAUCUUAAUGAUUUGUUUGUACGAUUGCCCCCAAUCAAAGGUAAUUUUCCUAAAAAUUAUUAGGAAAUUAGAGAAAUUUAAUUUUUUUAGUGGGUUCAAUUGCCCACACACCCCGACUGAAGCAUUUUUUACAAUAUGUACUCCGUUUGUCGGCUGGAAAAUAAAGGUCUUGACACAUGAUCACUUCAUUCCUUUAUUUACUUUGCUAACGCAGAUUUUGAGGUAUUAAAACAAAUAAUAAUUGAAUAUGACUUUGUGGGUCGACGACGCCAGCAACGAGGAGACCGCCAGUUAUCACAUUUUAAGUUUGCUGUAAUUGCCAUUGUUUUAUAUUAGUAGAAUAUUAGUGAUAAGAUAAUUAAAGAAUAUUAUAGGAGAAAUUCUAAUGUUUGCCUUUUAAUAAAUUAGUUUAUAAGUUUAAAAAAAUUAACAUAUAUCAAAAUAUUAUUGAUUGGUGUUGGUUUCACGUCAGAUUAAGACGUGACAUUUUACUUGUGAGACUGAGACAAUCGUCUUAGACUACUUCAAUAGGUUUGAAGCGUAGGCGGCACCGCUUCAAUUUGCACCAAUGUCUAUCAUUCUUUGUCCUAAUUACUACGAUAAUUAAUAACAUGCAAUUGAAAUUAUUAAUGUUAGUACUUGCCUAUAGAUAAAGGUAUUGUACUUGAAUCUUCACACACGAUCACUUCAUUCCUUUAUUUACUUUGGUAACACAGAUUUUGAGAGAUAUUAAAACUAAAGAAUAAUUGAAUAUGGCUUUGUGGGUUGAUGAUGCCAGCUCCAACGUGAGUGCAAUUAUCGCAUGUUUAAUUGCUCUAUUAGCCGUGGUCUAUUUCGUGUGGACAAGGAAAACAAAUGCUAAACUUCCACCAGGACCUCGCGGCUUGCCUGUAAUCGGAUACCUCCCGUUUCUCGGAACUACUGACUUGCACAAGACAUUCACGGAAUUAGCUGGUGUAUAUGGUCCAAUCUUCAAGCUCUGGCUUGGCAAAAAAUUGUGUGUAGUGGUGAGCUCACCUUCCCUAGUUAAACAAGUGGUUCGUGAUCAAGAUAUAACAUUCGCUAACCGCGACCCACCGAUAGCUGGACUCGUGGCCUCCUUUGGUGGCAAUGAUAUUUUAUUUCCCAAUUAUGGUCCUGAAUGGAGAAAGUUGCGCAAAUUAUUUGUGGGUAAGUUGAUGAGUAACGCAAGUCUUGACGCUUGUUAUGCUCUAAGAAAACAAGAGGUUAAAAAUAUAAUUAGGGAUUUGUAUAAUAACAACAAAACUGGCAUUGGCAAGCCCAUAGAUGUUGGUGAGUUGUCGAUCUCAACUUUUGUAUGUGUUAUACAGAACAUGCUAUGGGGUGAAGCUCUUGAGUUAAGAGAGAAAGGGAUCAGUAACCUUGGGGCUGAGCUAAAGUUUAAGCUAGCAGAACUCGUGGUGCUAAUGGGAACACCGAAUAUUUCGGAUAUCAUUCCGUGCUUCCAUGGCUUGAUAUACAAGGUAUAGAGAAGAGAACAAAGAAGAUUUCUCUAUGGUUUGAAAAUUUUAUCGAUUCUGCUGUUGAACAGUACAGAAACAAGGUCUCUGUUGUCGAAGAGGGAGGAGCAGGGAACAAUAUUGAAGGAAGGAAUAAAGACUUCUUACAGUUACUCUUGGAGCUUCAGGAAAAUGAGGACAGUGCUUCAUCAAUUAGCACGAUCCAAUUGAAGGCCUUGCUCGUGGUAUGUUGUGCCACUGCCACAAACUGUUGUACAAGCGCAGCUGUAUAAGUUAUGUGUUUUAGCUCAAGUUGUGGGCAUGGACAGCUGUGUUGAAGAAUUUCACUUGCCCAAAUUAAAGUACUUAGAUGCUGUGGUGAAAGAAACAUUUCGGCUGCAUUCUGUGCCCUAUUUAGUACCACGUAGGGCAAGCCAAAGUAGCAGCAUUGGUGGCUAUACUGUUCCUAAAGAUACAACGAUUAUAUUGAAUGUUUGGGCAAUCCACAGAGAUCCUCAAAUUUGGGAUAACCCCUUAGAAUUUGGACCAGAGAAGUUUUUUAAUGAUGGUAUUGCGAGCAAAUUUGAUUACUCGGGUAAAAAUUUUCAGUACUUGCCAUUUGGUUCUCGCAGAAGGAUGUGUGCAGGGAUUGCUCUGGCAGAGACGAUGCUGAUGUUUGUUCUGGCUUCAGUGUUGCACUCAUUUGAUUGGAAAUUGCCGGCAGGCACAAAGCUAGACUUACCUGAAAAGUUUGGGAUUUUGAUUAAGAAAAAGGAGCCUUUGGUUGCUAUUCCAACACCAAGACUACCCAAUUCAGAGCUCUACCAAUAAGACAAAUGGUUGUGAUGGUAUUGUAUCCCCAAUGUAUUGGAAGAUUUGUAUGUUAUUUCAAGUUCAAUCAUAAUAAGCAUAUUAAUAAAUGUCUUCAGGUUGUUAUUUUUUCACUGGCACAAUCUAUCAUCAUACUCGUGUUUUCGAGCUAUUGAUUUAUUUUUGAAUUGCAAUCUGAAAUAUAUAUACUUUAAAUUUCUUACAAGAUUUUAAAUUUAUAUACAUCUUCAACCCAAAAUCUCCCAAAAAUUCUAAAAUCCAAAAUUUUACAAAGCAUAGACCAAAAUUUUUAUACCAACUAAUUUUUUGAUUUAUUCUACACUUUCUAAAAGGAGAGAUGUUUACUCCAAUAUUUGGACUACAAUUAUAUCUAAGCUUAGGUGCCAAAUAAUAAAUUUAUAAGUAAAUUGGAUUUUUAACAUGGAGAGAGUUCUAAAACAACUUGCUUAAAGCAAAUGAACUGUCCAAUUAAUUCAAAUUUUCAAAAACAAAUCUUUAAACAUUCAACGGACAUUUUCACAAGCUCCUGGAAAGCACAAUGUAAAACCCAACAAAGAAUACAAAAAAUCUUUGAACUUUUCACAAGCUUCUUGAAGAGAUGCGACGUCGCUGCUUUGGUAACUCAGAAGGCUCAGAGAUCUUUGAGGAAAUCAUGGUUCGCUUUCUUUUUUAUCUUUCUUCCUAAUCCUUUCAAAUUGUGUGAAGGCCAAUAUAUCCAUGAAUCUAAAUCUCUGUAAAUUUGUUUUGCACAAAUUUGGAUAAUUAUUUUCUCCGUGCACAAUAUCUAUCACUGUAUCAGCUGUUUUUAUUUAUUUAUUUAUUUAUUUUUGGAGGGGGAGGCAGUUUAGAAGAGCUGGAGGGUGUUCUUGACAGAGCUCAAAUUUGUUGCGUGCUCGUUGGGUGGAUAUAUCCAUCAAAGAUAUCCCGUACAGUGACAUUUGUCGUGAUCAAAUUAUUAGUAGAUCAAUGAUUUCGACAUCUGUUUACUGUAAUAAAAUUUGUCACUAUACAUUGAUGUAAGUAUUUGAUGUGAUUUUCUAACUGCUACUGAUGGGAAACAGUUAGGAUGCGUUUGAGAUUGAGGUGUUAUAGUUUUUAAGCUAUAACUGCUAUAAAAAAAAAUUGUAAUUAUAAAAUAAAAAUUAGUAAUAUAGAGUAAAUAUAAUUUUCAAAUAAUAAUUUUGACAAAAUUAUUAAAGAUAUAAUAUAUUUUUUAUGAUAUAAGUGAAAAAUCACAUCAACAUAGCUUUCAAUCUACAGCAGCUAGUGUUUACCAAACACUUUGCUGUAGCUUUUAAGUUACAGCUGCCCAACCUCAAUCUCAAAUGCACCCUUAAUAGGUGAUUGAAUUUGUGGGAUAUAGAUUCCACAUAUCUUAUGACCUAGUAAUUAUACAAGUGGUUCGUGAUCAAGACACAACAUUUGCUUCCGGCCCGGUGACCCAGCAAUCGCUGCACUGGUCGCCACCUAUGGUGCCGACGAUAUUGCACGGUCCAAUUGUGGCCUUGAAUGGAAAAAGUUGAACAAAUUAUUUGUGGACACGAUGAUAAGUAACGCAAGCCUUGAUGCUAGUUAUGGUCGAAGAAAACAAGAGGUUAAGAACACUAUCAGAGAUAUGCAUAACAACAAAAAGGAAAAAAAAAAAAAAAAGGCAUUUGUAAGCCCAUUGAUAUUGGUGAAUUGUCGAUUUUUUUUAAUAUUAAAAUCAAGUCAAUUUAUUAUAAUAAAUUUAUCACAUGUUAAGUUUGCUGUAAUUGCCGUUGUUUUAUAUUAGUAGAAUAUUAGUGAUAAGAUAAUUGUAGAGUUUUCAUUUUUUUAAUAUUAAAAUCAAGUCAAUUUAUUGUAAUAAAUUUAGUUGAAUUUAAUCGUAUUACCACAUAAAUUGAAUAAUAAUAGAAUUCUCGACAAUAUUUCAAUAUUUUAAUCUCAAGCAUUGGAGUGGCAUUUAUUUGUUAUACGGUCGAUUUUAGAAUUUUUAAAAUUAUUCGUUACUGAAUUGCACCAUAUGCUGCAUCACCUGUGUAAAGUAACCAGUGAAAGCAAUUCAGAGACUUUGAAACGACUUGAGAAAGUGCGUUUCGGUGUGUAAACUAAAGCCAAGUGAAACGAUGUCAAGGAAUGUCGUUUUACUUAAGUGAAACACCUGAGACGCACGUGAAUGGAUUCGAAUGAAAGAAGCCGUUAAAGUCGUUGAUGAAGCAUGGCUUGCACGUGAGCAUCUGGGAUUAGUUUCCAGGAAGUUAUCAGCAACUGAAAGGAGCUGAUUCUGGUGCAGAUAGCUGGCUACAAUUUAUGAGUAUAAAAGGGGGGUUACUCCUGGGUUUAAGUGCAAGUAAUUUCCAUGAGAUACCAUCUGUAAUUCUCUGUAAUCUUGAGUUCAUUCAAUAAAAGCCUGAAGUCUUGUUCCUCCGUGGAUGUAAGCUAAGUGUUUUAGCUGAACCACGUUAAAACUUUUCUGUUCUUUAUUCUUUAGUUUAUUUCGAUUCCUUGAUUCUUAAACCAUUGAUUGUUUUGUUCAGUAGAAGUUCUUGGUUAAAUCUUUUUCAAGUCAUCUAUAGUCAAGCAUCUAGGAAUCUGAUCUUGGAUCUUGGGCAGAAGCUGAAGGUGUUUGAGCAAUUGAGUGCCCUUCAGGUUCUACAACCUGGAACUUACUAAACGGAACGUAGCGUUGGCACCGUUACUCAAUAUUCACUGUUACGACUUUGUGACAUUAGAAUUAAAAUCUUUUCCACAUUUAAUUUGUUUACUUCCAAAUUAAUAUUUAACAAAAUAUUUUUUCACAUUAUCAAUGGACAAAACUCCAACGAAAAUAACUAUACAAGAAAUUGUAUGCUAGCAUUGUAUGCCAUAUCAUCUGUAAUUUUGUCAGGAUCGAUCAUUCUAAUUUUUAAGCAGAACUUUUUGUCAAUUGACAAACACCUCACACAGCUUGUCAGAGGCAUUAUUAUGAUGUAAAAUUGUAAUGGUGUAUCUUGAAUUAUUGGUAGAAUAGUGAAUAACUAUUUGGAGCAAUAAAAACAAAUAAGACAGAUGAGAAAAUGGCUAAAAUUAUAUAAGUGACCCAAAAUUUUUUGUUAUUUCCAAGAAAUCCCCAAUCUGAAUGGACCAGAGGGAGGCAAGUUAGAAAUACAUUUCCUUCAUAGACAUUAACAACGAUGAGUGGAUGACAUCAAGCCACGUCGGUAUCAAUAUUGAAAUAAAGGUGCAAUAAAGAAAGUUUUUCUAUGGUUUGAACAAAGGUGGUUUUAAUGAGUAUUAUAGACCUCGAUUGAAUGUUCGAAUGUAUAAUAAAAGAGAAACUGUCACAUAAAUGACAAAGAUACUUGAAAAAAAAAAAAAGGGCAGCAAUAGAGAAUUAGAUCCGACUGCACAAAUAACUAGUUAAUUCAUCGAUACAUCAUUUUCUUGCUAGAAAAUGACAAUUAUGACAGCAAGCCACGAUAGUGUCAAUAUUGAAAUUGAUUUGCAAUUAUUCAGCCAAUGAUCCUUACACGUCAAGAUAAAAGUCAAGAAAAUGAAAGUUAAUAUCAAUUAAAACACUUCCUGGGCUGCAUUUAGCAGUUUCUAUGUGAAGUUAAAAAACAACGUUUCUUUUGUUUUGUGGGGGAUUCAACUGAGCACGCGCCACUAGCUAGCUGGCUUCUAGUUCUAGCAUAUGAAAACAGAAUACUAAAGAUUUCACUUUCACCUUUUUUUUUUCUUUUUUUGGGGGUUUUGAAUCAAAGUCAAGGUCGCACUGAAUAAUAUGUAAAAUUUGAAAAAGAAGAAUUAAUAGAGAACAAAGUUUUGUUUUAAAUUCACAUGGUGUGCAUCCAAUUCAACAAACACUUCCUAUAAUAAAUCUGGAGUUGUGUCCCACGUUGAACAAUAAAGGAAAGUCACCUAAAUAUACAUGUAGGAUAAGUUACUUUAUUUAGUAAGUUUGUAUUUUCUUCUUUCUUCUAGUUUACACAUAAAUUUGAUUAGAUAACUUAACACAUAUUCUAAUACUUGAUCAGAAGCCCUACGUACAGGUGGAUCUAGAAACUUGAUUUCUAAGAGUAAUACUAUAAUAAAAAAAUAAUGAUUCAUAGAACCAAUAUCAAAAUUUGUUUACAAGAUUACCCCCACUCAAAAGUAAUUUUCAUAGAAAUUAAUAGGAAAUUUAAUUGUUAGUGGGGUCAAAUUGCCCCCACACUCUGAAUGUAGAUCCACGCCCGACCCUGAGUCAAGUAUAUUUUGCCACAUAUACUCUGAAUGUCGGCAGGAAAAAUCUUCCACUUUAGUUUAAAAUUUUCACUUAAAAAUUAUUUAUGUUAAUAAAGUUCGUAAAGAAAAUAAGUUUAAUUAAUGAAUAUUAUAGGAGAAAUUAAAGGAAAUGAGUUUAAUUAAAGAAUAUUAUAGGAGAAAUUCUAUUGUUUGGCUUUUAAUAAAUUAAUUAAUAGGUUUAAAAAGAUUAAUAUACAUCAAAAUAUUAUUAGUUGGUGGUGGUUCCACAUCGGACUAAGACGUGGCACCUUACUUGUGAGAUUUAGACAAUCGGCUUAGACUAUUUAAAUAUGUUUGAAGCUUAGAUGGCACCGCUUCAAUUUGCAUUACUGAAUGUCAUUCUUUAUCCUAAUUACUACCGUAAUUGAUAACAUGCAAUUGAAAUAACUAAUAUUAGCACUUGGCUAUAAAUGAACUAAAGGCCGUGCAAUUGAAUCUUUACUUGAUCACUUCAUUUCUUUAUUUUGCUAACACAGAUUUUGAGAUAUUAAAACGAAAUAAUAAUUGAAUCUGGCUUUGUGGGUCGAUGAUGCCAGCAACAACGAGACCACAAUUAUCACUUGUUUAUUUGCUGUAUUUGACGUUGUUUCAUAUUGGUAGUAAUAAGGUCGUUGUAGAGUUUUUAAUCUUUUUAUAUUAAAGUUAAGUCAAUUUGUUAUUAAAAAAAAAAAUUGGUUGAGUUUAAUUAUAUUGCUAUGUACAUUAAAUAAUUAUAAUAUUUUCUAGGGAAAAAGACACCUAGAACCUCAAGGUUUGGGAAAAUGGUCACAAAAACUCCUAAGUUUUAAAAAAGGAACACUAAGAUCUUUUUUUAUCCAUAAUACCCUUUGACUAUAGUAAUUAAAAAAUUGACUUUAAAGGUUUUUAAAUAAUAUAAAUUUAAUAUAAAUCAUAUAAUCUAUCUAGUAAACUAAUAAUAUUAAAUUAUUUUUUAUAUUUAAAAUAAUGUUAAAUUUUAAAUUAUUAUAUUUAUUUUAAUAAUAUAUUUAUAAAAUUAUAAAGAUUUUAAAUAAAUCUUUGGAUUGAAUAUAUUUUACAAUUAAAAGUCUUCCUAUUAAUAAUAUUAAAAUUAAAUUUUACAUAAUAUAUAUUCAAAAUAUUUUUAAUUUAAUUUUAUUUAUUUUAAUAUUAUGUUUCUAUCUAUUAUUAAAAAUUACUUUAAUAUAAUAAAAUAGGUCUAAUAGAUUGAAAAAUAUGAAAAUAUUUUUAAAAUUUUAAAUUAUUUUGAAAUGUAUAUAUUAUUACAUUUAUUUCAAUGUCAUAUUUCCAUUUAUUAUAAAAUUUUGGGGUUAUUUUUUUGGGAAUUUAUAGAGUCAAAGAGCAUUAUGGUUAAAAAAGAGUCUUGGUGUCCCUUAUUGAAAACUUUGGAGUUUUUGUGACCAUUUUCUUAAAUCUUGGGGGUGUUGAAGUGGCAUUUACUUAUUGUAAGAUUGAUUUUAAAAUAUGUAAAAUUAAUUUUAUUACAUUACCAUAUGCUACAUCACCUGAAACUUAAUAAAUGGAACGUAGCAUUACUCCACGUUCACCGUUAUGACCUUAUGACAUUAGAAUUAAAAUCUUUCGUACGUUUAAAUUGUUUACUUCCAAAUUAAUCUUUCGUAAAUAUUUUGUAAAGAUCUUAUCGGAGUUAGCGUGUUCAUUACAGUGUUUCUUUUCUUUUGUCCUUUCUUUUGAAACGUAUAUCGUGUGGACAAGGAAAGCAAAUAAUACCCUGCCACCAAGACCUCGCGGCUUGCCUGUAAUCGGAUACUUCCAUUUCUCGGAAUUACUGACUUGCACAAGACAUUCACGGAAUUAGCUGGUCUAUAUGGCCCGAUCUUCAAACUCUGGCUUGGCAACAAAUUGUGUGUAGUGGUUAGCUCGCCUUCAGCUAGUUCUAUAAGAAUAUCCCUUUUAAAGGAUUCUCUCUCUGCAAAAUUUUUUUAUCUUCUGGUGCAUAAUAAAAACUUAUGCCACUUCAUUAACCACAGACAUCUUUUGAGGAAACGAUGUUUCGUUUUCUUUUGUUGUUGCCUUCCUAAUCCUCGCAUAUCGUGUGAAGGCUAAUAUAUCCAAGAAUCUAAAUCUCUGUAAAUCUUUUUCUAUCCAAAUCUACAUAAUAAUUUAAUCCAUGCACAAUAUCUAUAAUUAUAUCGGCUGUCGGCUGAUUUCGUGGAGGGGGCGGCAGUUCAAAUUUUUUACGUGCAUGUUGGAUGGACGUCUCUAUUAAAGGAGAGCCACCACUUGCAUGGUAAUUUUUUAAAAUAAAUAUAUACAUUUCAAAACAUUUUUUUGUUUAUUGUAUAGUUAACAUAUCUCCUUAGAUGUAUUUUAGAGCUUCUCCUAUUAAAGAUAAUCUCAUGCAGUGAUACUUCUCGUGAUCUAAUCAUUAGUAGAAUCUAUAAUUUCGCUACUGUAAUAAAAUCUGUCCCUACCCUAUAUGAAUGUAGAUAUUUGACGCGAUUUGUAAUUGCUUCCGACAGGAAAACAGCAAUAGUUUAAUUGAAAUUUGUGGCAUAGAUUCCACGAAUCUUAUGACAGAAUACUGACCACUCCAACCCCAUCCGCAUUUACACGAUUAAUACACAAGCUUAGGUGUGACAAUGCAUUUGUCACUUGUUCAAAUUCAUCCUGAAACACUAUACACUAAAUAAUCGAAUAUGGCUUCGUGGGUCGAUGAUGCUAGCAGCAACGAGACUGCAAUUAUCACUUGUUUUGUUGCUGUAUUUGUCGUGGUCUAUUUCGCAUGGAAUGAAAACAAAUCAAGUAAAGCAAAUGCUAAAUUGCCACCAGGACCUCGGGGCUUGCCAGUAGUCGGAUACCUCCCAUUUCUUGGAACUACUGACUUACACAAGACAUUCACGGAGUUAUCUGGAGUUUAUGGUCCGAUCUUCAAGAUUUGGCUUGGGAAUAAAUUGUGUGCAGUGGUGAGCUCGCCUGCCCUAGUUAAACAAGUGGUCCGUGAUUAAGAUACAACAUUCUCAAACGGCGACCCACCGAUCGCUGGAACUGUGACCACCUACGGUGGCAAUGAUAUUGCACUUUCCAAUUAUGGUCCCGAAUGGAAAAAGUUGCGAAAAUUAUUUGUGAGCAAGAUGAUGAGUAAUGCAACCCUUGAUGCUUGUUAUGCUCUAAGAAAACAAGAGGUUAAAAAUACUAUCAGGGAUUUGUACAACAACAAUAAGGAUAAUAUUGGCAGUGGCAAUGGCAAGCCCAUUGACGUUGGUGAAUUGUCGAUUUCAACUUUGGUACGUGUUAUGCAGAACAUGCUGUGGGGUCAAGCAUUGGAAACAAGAGAGAAAGAGAUUACUAAUCUCGGGGCUAAUCUUGCAGAACUCAUGGUGCUACUGGGAACACCAAAUAUUUCGGAUAUUUUUCCAGUGCUUUCAUGGCUUGACAUGCAAGGUAUAGAGAGAAGAGCUGAGAAGAUUUCUCUAUGGUUUGAAAAUAUUAUCAAUUCUGGUGUUGAACAGUAUAGAAACAAGUUUUCUGUUGUUAAAGGUGAAGAAGCUGCAGCAGGAAAAAAUAUUGAACGAUCAAGAAAUAAGGACUUCUUGCGGUUACUGUUGGAGCUUCAGGAAAAUGAAGAUAGUGCUUCAUCUAUUAGCAUGUGUGAAGGAAGCUCACUAUUCGAGCAAUUCAGUGAAGCCACAUCAGCAGAAGAUUAUAGUGAAAUAAAGGAGUUCAGCUGAGUUGGUUGAAAUGUCGUUAUACAGCUCAUAGUUCGUUAUGAAGAAUUAGUUAGUUACAUGUAGAAAUCACGUGUGAGAACUUUGUAUAUAAACGUGAGCUUGUAAACAAUAUCAAUUUAAUUGAAUACACUGGAAAUUUUUCAUAGUUUUAUUUUCUCAGAGAUUUUCCAUUAAACCAAACAGUCUAUCUCUGUUAUUUUACAGAUGAACCAACUAAAGGCCGUGCUCGUGGUAUGUUAAGCAACUAGACACAAAAAGUUGUAAAAUCACAGCGAUAUAUUUGCGCGAGGCCGCGAGUGAUGUUUUGCCUCGAGACCUCUCAAUUUUAUCUUACGGUAAAAAAUGUUUUUCAACUUUUUUUUUAAUUAGAAUUUUAUUGCAAUUUAUUUAACAGGACAUAAUUGUGGCCGGAACCGACACCACAACUACGAUGGUGGAAUGGACAAUGGCAGAGUUGAUGCAACAUCCACAAGUAAUGAAGAAAGUUCAAGAAGAAUUAGCUCAAGUUGUGGGCAUGGACAGUUGUGUUGAAGAAUAUCACUUGCCUAAAGUAAAGUAUUUAGAUGCUGUGGUGAAAGAAACAUUUCGUUUGCAUCCUGCGUUGCCCUUAUUGGUACCUCGCACGGCAAGCCAGAACAGCAAUAUUGGUGGCUAUACCAUUCCCAACGACACUAAUCUUAUGUUGAAUGUUUGGGCUAUUCACAGGGAUCCUCAACUUUGGGAUAAUCCCUUAGAUUUUCGACCUGAGAGGUUCUUGAAUGAUGAUAUCAUAAGCAAAUUCAAUUACUCGGGUAACAAUUUUCAGUACUUGCCAUUUGGUUCUGGUAGAAGGAUGUGCGCUGGCAUUGCUCUAGCUGAGAGGAUGUUGAUGCUUGUUCUGGCUUCGUUGUUGCACUUGUUUGAGUGGAAAUUGCCCCCGGGCACAAAGCUAGACUUAUCUGAAAAGUAUGGGAUUGUCAUGCGGAAAAAAGAGCCUCUGAUUGCUAUUCCAACACCAAGGCUACCAAAUUCAGAUCUCUACCAGUAAGAUCAAAAUGGUUGUUAUGAUAUUAUUUCCCAUUGUAUUGGAAGAUUUUUGUGUGAUUUGAAGUUCAAUCAUAAUAAAAUAUUUUAAUAAAAUGUCCUCGGUUGCUAAUUUUUCAAUAGUAUACUCUAUCAUCGUUUCUAACUGUCUUUUAGAGCCAUUUGGUCUAAUUUAUUUUUGAAUUAAAAUCCAUAAGUAUUUAAAUUUUUGAAUUAUAUUAGGAAUUAUCUGGAGUGUAUGGUCUGAUCUUCAAGCUCUGGCUUGAACAAAAAUUAUGCAUGGUCGUGUACACGCUUUCCCUAAUUAAGCAUGAGGUUCGUGAUCAAGGCACAACAUUCACUCCCUGCGACCCAACAAUCGCUACAUUGUUUGCCACCUAUAGUGCCAACGAUAUUGCACGGUCCAAUUAUGGUCCCCAAUCGAAAACGUUGCGCAAAUUAUUUCUGGGCAAGAUGAUAAGUAACGCAAGCCUUGAUGCUUGUUAUGGUCUAAGAAAACAAGAGGUUAAAAAUACUAUCAGAGAUAUAUAUAAAACAACAACCGAAAAAAUUGAGCAAAUCAUGUGUAGGCAAGAUGACAAGUAACGCAAGCCUUGAUGCUUUUUAUGGUCUAAGAAAACAAGAGGUUAAUAUAUAUAUAUAUAUAUAUAUAUAUAAAUUGGCAUUGUCAACUUUAGUAUGUUUUAUUCAGAACCCGCUGUGGGUUGACGCUAGCAUGCUUGCGUUAGGAGACGAGGGGACCAAUCUUGGGGCUGAGCUAAAAUAUAAGCUUGUAGAGAUCAUCUUGCUAAUGGUACUGUUUUCCGAUGCUGGUUUAAUUCAUGGUAUAAAAAGGAGAACAAAGAAGAUUUUUCUAUGCUUUGAAAAUAUUAUAAUUUUUAGUUUAUAAUUUUUAAUAAAAUCUCUCAUUAAUAGCCAAACAACUAAAAUUUUUGUAAAGCUUUUGUGGACUUUUGAUCGCGUAUGGUGCCAAUGUAUUGCGCGGUCCUAUUAUGGUUCCAAAUGGAGAAAGUUGCACAAGUUUUUUGAGUACCAGAAGAUCAGUAAUGUAAGCCUUGAUGGUUGUUAUGGUCUAAGAAAACAAGAGGUUAAAAAUUCUAUCUGGGAUUUUUAUAACAACAACAAAAUUGGCAAGCCCAUUGACAUUGGUGAAUUGUCAGUUUCAACCUUGGUAAGUGCGAUUCAGAACAUGCUGUGGGGUGAAACGCUUGAAAUAACAAAGAAAUGGAUUUACUAAUAUUGGGGCUGGGCUAAGAUUUAAGCUUGCAGAACUCACGGUGCUAGAGGGAACACCGAAUAUUUUGGAUAUCUUUCCAGUGCUUUCAUGGUUUAAUAUACAAGGUUUUCAGAGAAUAGCAAAGAAGCGUUCUCUAUGGUUUUAAAAUAUUAUCAAUUAUACUGCUGAACGCUAUAGAAACAACGUCUCUAUUGUCAAAAGUGAAGAAGCAGCAGCAGCAGGGAACAAUUUUGAAGGAAGGAAUGAGGACUUGGUGCAGUUACUCUUGGAGCUUCAAGGUAAAGAAGACAAUGCUUCAUCAAUUAGCAUGACGCAAUUUAAGAGCUUGCUCGUGGUAUGUUGCGCAACUAGCCACAGACAGUUACAGAAACUGAGUUUGGCAGAUUACGACCAUUUCUGGUGAUUACAUAAUUAUUUGUGGCUGUUUUUUUUUUUAAUUGUAAUUUUCUUAACAGGAUAUAAUUUAGGGUGGAACCAACACCACAACUAUAAUGGUGGAAUGGACAAUGGCAUAAUUGAAACAGCAUCCACAAGUAAUAGAGAAUGUACAGGUAGAACUAAAUCGGGCCGUGGCCAUCGACAGCCAUGUUGAAGAAUUUCACCUACCUAAGUUAAAAUAUUUAGAUGCUGUGGUGAAAGAAACAUUCUGCACUGUAAUAUAAUACAUGAAUCAUAUGUCCUCUAUUGUUUUUUUAUUUUUCUCUUUUUUUCAAUAGCUUAAUCUAUCAUUAAAAUCUUCUGAAAUUCUAAAUUAAUAUACAUUCAACCUAGAGUUCAAGCCAAAGUUUUAUUGAGCAUUAAAAAAAAUAUAUCUACGACAAAAAAUUUUGCGGAGUAUAAAUUAAAAAUUAUGCGCCUACUAAGAGACAAAAAAUAAAUGAUACACAUUAACCAAUCAAAGGCGAACAAGAGAUUAUUAACAAUAACCUAAUAAUAAAAUUGUAAGGAAUAAAAAAGAAAUGGUACCUAGAAACACAUCACAGCCAUUUAAGCAAUCACUUACCCAUAAAAUCCAAACAUAUAAACUUGGGGGGGGGGGGGGGUCAUGAUACCUUUGGGUUUCAUGAUAAUCAAAAUUGCAAUACCAUUAAAGACUCAAAAAUAAAAAAAAAUCAUAGCCAAUAAAAGAGAAAAAAUAACCCACAAAAAAUCAUCAAGAAAAUAAAUUUGAGAGUAAGAGAAGAUAUUAAUUAAACCCUGGGUUGCCUUGGAACCACGGCUUUGGCUUCCAUUUUUCAAUUCUUGGCGACAAAUAAUUUCUUGUUUGUUUACAAAGAUGACGGCUGAUUAAUGAAGCUCUAUUAACAAUGAAUGAAUCAAAAAACUGGCGCCUUGAAAAGACUAACGGUCAUAUUUUUCAACUCCGAAUUAGUGCCGUUUGAUGAGUCCUUGCCAAAACAAUCACUCGGCAAAUAACAAUCAUUUUUCAACCAGCAAAACUCAUUCAUUGUAUUUCACCUUAGUCAAGAUUUAAAAAUUGUUUCAAAAUAAGCCUAGUGGUUAGAACCCAAGCGUCACAAUUUUGAGGUCAUGGGUUUGAGCCCCCACAACGUAUUGUGGGGGUUAAUUUUCUUCUUCAAUUUGAGUGAAAAUAGUUCUCUCCCUUUCAAAAUGUGGGUGGAUUGGACGUCCCUCAAAUAUUAGAGAGGGUUAAAAUUUGGAUUGUACUAUAUAAGAUUUAUAAAUUAGUCUCAGUAAUUGUCUGAUUGUAAAUAUCAAUAUACUAAUCUAAUUAAAUAUGAGUUGUAAUAUGAGCGUUAGUCUCAUGUAAUUAAAAAAAAAUUGUUUCAAAAUAGGAUUCUUAAAAUGUUGGGGAAAUGGCCAUCAAUAUCCCCAACUUUCCAAAAAGAGACACAAAGACCCAUUUUGACCAUAAUACCCUUUACUUCUAUUAUCCCCAAAAAAUUGACUCUAAUGUUUUAUAAUAAAUAAAAAUAUAACAUUAAAAUAAAUGUAAUAGUAUAUACAUUUUAAAAUAGUUUCAAUAUUUAAAAACUAUUUUAAUAUUUUAAAUCCUAUUAUAUAUAUAUAUAUUCAAGUAAAUUUUAUAAUAAAUAGAAUCAUAAUAUUGAAAUAAAUGCAUUAAAAUUUAAAUUAUUUUUAAUAUUAUGUAAAAUAAUAAUUUUAUCAUUAUAAGUAUAUGAGAAUUUUUUUAAUUGUAGAAUGUAUUUAAUGCAAAUAUUUAUUUAAAAUCUCUACAAUAAAUAAAAAUAUACUAUUAAAACAAAUCUCUACAAUAUAUACAUACAUACAUAUACAUUGGCCUGGUAUUUUAUUUUUCAUUUUUAAACUUAUUAAAUCCUCUAACUAUCAUUUGAUUUUUUUUUCAAUGAUGAAGAGGCCAUUGCCGGAUAAAUUAUUAAUAUCAACUAGUUCUACAAGAAUGUCCCUUUUUAAAGGAAGAUCAUUCUCUCUCUCGAAAUUUUUUAUCUUGUGCUACAAACUAAAAACUUAUGCCAUUUCAUUAACCACAGAGAUCUUUGAGGAAAUGAUGCUUCGCGCCCCCCCCCCCCGGCGGCGCCAAAAAGUGUCCUUCGAUAUUUUGUGAAGGCUAAUACAUCGAUGAAUCUAGAUUUCUUUAAAUUUUUUGUUUUACUCAAUUCGAGAUAAUAAAUAGUUUAUCUUUAUUAAAUCUUUACUUUAACAAUGAUAGAUAUUCAAUCCAUGCAAAUAUCUAUCAUUGUAUGAGCUGAUUGCGUGGAGGGAGCGGUAAUUGAAAUCUAAUUGAAAACAGCAGAAGGCUGUUCUUGACAGAUCUCAAAUAUAUUACGGACACGUUGGGAGACAUCUCUAUCAUAGAUAUCCCCAUGCAGUGAUAUUUGUCGUGAUCUAAUUUUUAGUAAAUCUGUAAGAGAGAUUGUAACAUCUUUCAAGUUUUUGGUUUGAUAUUCUGGACGAAAACAGUUUGCCGUUUCUUGAGCAAACGGCUAACCGUUUAAGUCCAGAGACCAUAUUUGCUGUUCUAGAGAAAACGGCUCACCGUUAUUGAGAAAACGGCUAACCGUUUAUUUACAGAGAGCAACGUAUUUAAUAUUCUGGAAUAAAACGGCUCACCGUUUAUUGAGAAAACGCCUAACCGUUUAUUUUCGGAAAGGCGUCAAUUAGAAAAACGGUUAGCAAGAAUGAAAAUUUCAAUUGACAAUCGAUGCAAAUUCAAACCAAAAGAGUGUCUUCGAAGAAGUACCAUUUCUAAUGGUUGUAUUCCUUCAAAUAAACAUCUUCUUCAUUAAAGAAAUACACACAAUUAGAUAGAUAAUCAGAUUUUGACAGGUUUCUUAUAUGUUCUGGAAAUACAAUCUUAUUUGCUAGAGAUUGUAUUCAAGAUUUGUUAUAUCUUGGGGGUAAUUUGCCAUUAAAACUAUAUAGCAAACCAAGAUUGGUGAGGGCAAAUAAAACCUUAAAGGAAAGUAUGCAAACACGUCUCAAAUCCUAUGAAACUUUCUUUGUUCUUUGCCUCCAUAUUCUUAUUAUUCACUAACAAAAUCCCCAUGCAGUGAUAUUUGUCGUGAUCUAAUUAUUAGAAAAAUCUAUGAUUUCGCUACUGUAAUAAAAUUUGUCACUACUCUACAUUAAUCUAAAUGUCUGAUGAGAUUUGUAAUUGCUUCCGACGGGAAAACAGUUAAUAGGUUGAUUGAAUAUAUGUGGUAAAGAUUCCACGUAUCUCACGACAGAAUGCUGACCACUGGAACCCUAUCUACUUUUACGCGAUUAAUUCACGAGCUUAGGCACGACAAUUGCAAUACAAAUUAUCCCCUCAUCAUAUAUUUCGUUAAAAUUCAUUCUGAAGCAGUAAAACUAAACAAUCGAAUAUGGCUUUGAGGGUCGAUGAUGCCAGCAGCAAUGAGAGUGCAAUUAUCACUUGUUUAGUUUCUGUGCUUGCCGUGGCUUAUUUCGCAUGGAAUGUGAAAAAAUCAAGGAAAGCAAAUGCUAAACUGCCACCAGGACCUCGCGGCUUGCCUGUAGUCGGAUACCUCCCAUUUGUCGGGACUACUGACUUGCACAAGAAAUUCACGGAAUUUAUUUUACUAUUAUAUUUAUAUUCAAAAUAAUUUUAAUUAGCUUUUAAAAUUAAUGAUUUUAGGAAAUUAUAAAUAAAGGUAACUAAGAAUUCUCUUAAUGUAAUAUAUUAUUAAUUAGUUUAAAAAUACAAAUUUAUUAAUUAGAGAAAUUAUUAGUGAAUUUAAAUUAAUGAUCUUAAUGAUUUGUUUGUACGAUUGCCCCCAAUCAAAGGUAAUUUUCCUAAAAAUUAUUAGGAAAUUAGAGAAAUUUAAUUUUUUAGUGGGUUCAAUUGCCCACACACCCCGACUGAAGCAUGUUUUACAAUAUGUACUCCGUUUGUCGGCAGGAAAAUAAAGGUCUUGACACAUGAUCACUUCAUUCCUUUAUUUACUUUGCUAACGCAGAUUUUGAGGUAUUAAAACAAAUAAUAAUUGAAUAUGACUUUGUGGGUCGACGACGCCAGCAACGAGGAGACCGCCAAUUAUCACAUUUUAAGUUUGCUGUAAUUGCCGUUGUUUUAUAUUAGUAGAAUAUUAGUGAUAAGAUAAUUGUGGAGUUUUCAUUUUUUUUAAUAUUAAAAUCAAGUCAAUUUAUUAUAAUAAAUUUAGUUGAAUUUAAUCAUAUUACCACAUAAAUUGAAUAAUAAUAGAAUUCUCGACAAUAUUUCAAUAUUUUAAUCUCAAGCAUUGGAGUGGCAUUUAUUUGUUAUACGGUCGAUUUUAGAAUUUAUAAAAUUAUUCGUUGCUGAAUUGCACCAUAUGCUGCAUCACCUGGAACUUAAUAAACGGAACGUAGCGUUGGCACCGUUACUCAACAUUCACUGUUACGACUUUGUGACAUUAGAAUUAAAAUCUUUUCCACAUUUAAUUUGUUUAUUUCCAAAUUAAUAUUUAACAAAAUGUAUGUUAGCAUUGUAUGCCAUAUCUGAUGGGUGUCGAAGCCAACAAAAAUAAAUUCCUACUCUAAAUAAAUUGUGUAUAGUGAUUGAGCAGGGUCGUGUCCACAGAGAUCGGUAAUUAUUUAAAUCCUUUUGAAACGUAAAACGUAAAAUGGGGGAAUUGUUGACAAUAAUAAAAAUCAAAUUAAAAAUAACAAGAAUGCAAAUUAAAGUUGUAAUUCAAAUUGGAGAAAGCUCUGGUUGAAGGAAUUAACUCAGCUUGAUUCGACUACUGAUCAUUGAUUCAAAUAUAAAUUAUUAUUACUCAUGAAUAGACCGGUUAUAGCUACUGAGACCCUCUAAUAGCCAAUCUCUCCUUAACUAGUCGAUAACCAAGGUACGACCGUUGGUUAUUUCCCUAAUCAAUAGACAACCCUAGAUACGAUCAUAGAAUUUAAUCAAUUGACAGCCUAAAAAACCAGAGAGACCCAAAUCCUAAUCAACACAUAUGAUGAUUCAUUUAAAUUAGAUUGUUUAUUCUCACAACACAACUCUCUGCUAUGUUAUUUGUCACAAACAUUAAAUUCUUUAUACGAUGAAUCCUUUAAUUGACAAUAGAUUAAGUUGAUAAUAAAAUAGUGGCCAAUUACCUAAUUAACAAACAUAAUCAUGAAAAUAAUUCAGAGAAUAAACAAAUACCCAAAAAGUAAUAAAACAAUUAAAGCACAAGAAAGAUCUCACAGUAGUGAUGAAUCAAAGCUUCAUUAACCUUCAACCAGAAAAAUGGGUUUAGUUCCUCAUAGAGAGAAGAGAAAAAUUAGAUCUAGGGUUUUUUUUUUCUCCAAUCCAAAAAUCCCCCCUUUUUCACAAUUGAUUCCUCCCUUAAAUACUCUCUCUCUCUUCUCUUUUAGAGUUCUAUUUAAAAUAAAAUACUAAUAUCUAAAAUAUUAAAUUCGUAAUUACAAAAAUAGCCAAAAAUAUAAAACACGUUAAACUAAAAACUGCAGGUCCGCAAUUGACAGCACGCGCCCACGCCUUAUCAACAAAGUUCUUCUGCCGCUCAUAAUUUUCUCCAAGGGAACAAUCAUCCCUAAACAUCAUCUUGUAGCUCAAUUUUAUCACCAAUCAAUAGAAUUGCACCUACAAAAGUAAAUCACAGGUAAAUCACUAUUAUUAAAUGCAAAACAUCGAUAUUAAGGGAAGUAAACAAUGCAAAACUAGUGCAUAAAUUACACUCUAACAAAUUCCCCCACACCAAGAUGAUGCUUGUCCUCAAGCAUAUAACUCAAGAUUAAUCUCAAAUUUCCACUCAAUUCUCAUCUCAACUCAUCCAAAAACAAUUUUAAGCAAGCAUACCUCAAGAAAUUAAGUCGUUCAACGUUCGAGAGACAAGGAUUUUAAAGCAUAGAAUUUCGUAAGAUAGAAUAAGAACAUUCAACCACCAAGAAGAUCCAUUCAAAACUCAAGUGCAGCAAGAUUUAAUAGCCCUCUCAAUAACUUCACUCCAUGCACUCAAAGUGUUUAGGGUGUCAUUUAUCCACUCAAAUCAAAUCAAAGAAUGCUAUUACCAUAAGCUUGCUCAUAUAUCACAUCUCAAUUAGAGAUGGCAAAACCCCGGGCCGGGUCCGGGUAUUGCCAUGACCGGACCCUGCCCGGAUGCAACCGGUCCGGGUCCGGGUCCGGGCCGGGUUUUAAUCCGGGUACCCGGAUUUUAUAUUUUUUAAUAUUUUAUGUGUAUAUAUUUUUUAUUUUUUGAUAAUUUUAUAAGUUUUAAAUUUAUUUCAAUAAAAUUUGACAUGAAAAUAUAAACUUUAAGUGUUUAAAACUUUAUAUAUGUAUAAUAAAUAAGUCAAAUAAAUAUAAAAUAUUUAAAAAAAUAUAUAUUUUAUAAUUUUUUUUAAUAAAAUCCGGGUUCCGGGUACGGUCCGGGUCCGGACCGGGCGGGUAUUUUUGCCACCUCUAAUCUCAAUCCACAAAACAUGAAUAAAAUGCAAAAAUCUAAGGGUCUUAAAAGGGUUGUAAUGGGGUUAAAUUGGAGAAAUGAAAAAGAAAGGUUUAUGAAAGAAAAAGAGAUCAAAAUGAGAAGAAUGAACUCAUUGAAUGAACUUAUGAUAUCAAAAUGCUUAUUUCUACUCAAGUCACCAAGAAUGUAAAUUUUUUUUUUUCGAUUUUUCUUUUUCUUUUUCUUUCUUUUUUUUUUUUGAUGAAUCAAACAAAAGAAACGAACCUUGCACAAUUUAAUUCAAGCAUAAUGCUUGUUGAUCUAAUUGAGAAACUUUAAUACAAGGUAGAAAAAGCAACAAAAUAUAUCCACACAAUGAGUCCAAAAAUCUCCUUAAAUUGAGGCUCAAAAAGAAGAAAAAUGGUUAAGUCGACGGAGAGAAUUAGAUGGGUAAUGGUUAAGGCUCAAACAAAGGUAGCAAAUAAAGGUCUUCGGGUAGAGAAGGAAAAAAAAAAUGCGAGAAUAGAAAAAUGGAAUAUGGUUUGCCCUUAUCAUUUUAAUGCAUAAAAUCUCGUAAUGUGGCUUCAACAUGCAUAACAAAGCAAGUUCUAGAAUAAACAAACUAGGAUUGAUAUUCACAUAACAAAAAUAAUUAGAGCAAAGUGGUUGCUCAUAGGCUCAAAUCCUCACAAAGUUGGUAAAUUUGCCAUCAAAUCAUGUACACUCUUCAAAUGAAUCAACCAUCAAUAGUGGUGUAGAAUGAGAAGAAGGUAUGAGUGAGAUAUAAAAGGAAAGGUAAAAAUGAUAAGAAGUGAGAAAUAUGUAUGUAGUAAUAUGAAAAGUGAAAGAUAAAAUGUGAGUGAUGAAAGAGUAUGAUAGAAUAAAAAUAGAUGUAAAUAAUUUGAGAUAGAUGGGAAAAGAGUAGUGAGAGAGAGAGGAAAAGAAAAUUAAUAAUAUAUGAAGCAUACUGCCAAAAUCAUUUAAGGAUGAGUAGAGUGAAAACAAUAAUUCCAGACAUCAAUAAUGCAAAAAUCCCUCCCCCACACUAAGAACUGACAUUGUCCCCAAUGUAAGAUAAUCAAAGCUCACAUAAAAAUUAAAGCGUAAGGAUAAAAGAUUAAGGGCAAAAACUUCCCUGAAUUGUGAGCUUUGAUCCUCAUAACGUCUAUGGGCUUGGCGGGAAUGGUGGGAUAAAUCCCACACUCUUGAAGUAUGCGGCCAAAUUCUGCUCCAUCUUGUCACGGAUUUCGAUUCACGGGCCUGGAAUGCAGGUCGUAGGCUGGUUGCGUUGCGAUUGCUGCUCGGCUGGAGCUUGCUUGAUGGACGCGGGAUGGCACUGAUUGUGUUGCGCGCGCGCGCUGGGGCUGCUGGAUCUGCGCGCUGCGUGGGCUGUGUUGUGCGCGAGAGCUGGGCUGACGCUGGUGCUGCGUUGCGUUGCGCGCGCGGGACUGAUGCGCUGCGUGAUGGUGAUGGCUAGAGCUUGCUGCGUUGCGCGCGGCUGGUUUCGCUGGUGGGACUUCGUUGCGCGCUGCUGGGCUGCGAGACACGGGAUGCUGGUGCUUGCGCUCACGGGAUGGUGCGUAUUCCGGCGGGCUGGUUUGCUGCUGGUGUGCUGCAAGCGGCUGGAGAAGAAAACAAGUUCUAGAAAAUUAGGGAUUUUGUGAACAGUGAAUAGUGAACAGUGAUUUUCGAUUUUUGGUUUUUUUUAUAAUAAAUAAAUAAAUAAAAAGAAAGAAAGGAACGAAAAAAGAAAAAUUUUUUUUUUUUUUUUUUAGUGAUGAAUCACUUUGAGACACUAAAAAUUUCAGAAGUACUUUUCUAAUAAGUACAUGGGCACGCCUUAUAAAAAAUUUUCUUCUGACCAAAAUAAGCAAACACAUUAAAUUUCAGAAGUACUUUUCUAUUAAGUACGUGGGCACGCCUUAAAACUAUGUUACUUUAAAAAUUACAGAAGUACUUAUUAGCUAAGACGUGGGCACGCCUUAUCAAAAAUUUUCUUCUGACCAAAAUAAGCAAAAUUUUUCUUUUUUUUUCUUUUUUUUUUGAAUCAAAAUUAAAAGAAGAUAUAACAAAAACCAAAACAAACAAAUCAUUUGGGUUGCCUCCCAAAAAAACGCCUUUGUUUUAUGUCUUUGGCUAGACACAUUUAUGCAUCAAUCUCCAUAAUUGGGACUCUCGAGAGCCACAUCCUCCACAAUAUUCACCGAAAAACCUUCAUAAAAAGGUUUUAAGCGAUGACCAUUAACCUUAAAAACUUUGUCAGAGGUCGGGCUCCGAAUCUCAACUGCACCAUAAGGAAAAACAUUAGUAACAAUAAAAGGUCCAACCCAGCAAGAUCGUAAUUUACCCGGAAAAAGUUUAAGCUUAGAAUGAAAAAGAAGAACUUUUUGACCAACAGAGAACUCUUUUCUCAAAAUCAUUCUAUCAUGAAAUGUCUUCGUUUUUUCCUUGUAACAAACUUCCUGCACUAUAGGGUUAAUAACAUCCACAGAAAAUACUGAAUGUUCCUCACUAGGAUAUUUCAUGGCAUCAUUCAUAUUGAAUUCUAUAACCUCUCCAUCAAAUUCCAUAGUGAGAGUCCCUUUAUGUAUAUCCAUUUUAGUCCUAGCAGUCUUAAGAAAAGGUCUUCCUAGCAAAAUUGGGAUAGAAUUAGAGGAGUUAUCAUCUUCCAUAUCAAGUACAUAAAAAUCAGCAGGAAAAACCAACUCAUUAACUUGUACUAAGACAUCUUCUAAUACCCCAUCAGGAUAUGCAUUAGACCUAUCAGCUAGUUGAAUUAUCACACCAGUUUCUUUUAAUGGACCAAUAUUCAAAGAUGAAUAAAUGGAACGAGGCAUAACAUUAAUAGAAGCUCCUAGAUCUAACAAAGCCUUUUCAACUCUAACACUACCAAUUUUACAAGGGAUAGUAAACAUACCUGGAUCCUUGCACUUAGGAGGUAGUUUCUUUUGAAGAACUGCUGAAACAUUCUCCCCCAUGUGAACUUUUUCAUCUCCUCUUAAUUUUCUCUUGGAGGUGCACAGUUCCUUAAGGACUUUAGCAUAUCGAGGUAUUUGUUUUAUAGCAUCUAAUAAAGGAAUAUUUAUCUCAACCUUGCGAAAUGUCUCAAGGAUGUCUUUCUCUUGUUCCUCCUUCUUGGAUUUUGCAAAUCGGCUUGGAAAAGGAGGAGGUAUCACAAUAGGUAGGGGUUUCGCUUUGGUGGGUUGCGCAUCUUGAGAUUUAGGCAUCAAUUCAUUCUUCUCAAGCUCAUCCUCUACAUGCUUUGUCACUUUCUUACUAGGCUCUUGCAACUCCGUCCCACUUCUAAGGAUGACAGCACUAACGUUUUGCUUUGGAUUCACCUCAGAUUGUGAAGGCAAUCUUCCUAAUACUUGAGACUCCAGGCUUACUGUAGUCGCCAAUUGACUCAUUUGGUUCUCCAAGUUCUGAAUGCUUACUGUAGUUGCCUGCUGAAAUUGUUGAGUGUUAGUUGCAAGUGAUUUAACAAUUUCUUCAAGAGAUAUACCUGACUUAGAGUUUGACUGUGGAGGUGUUGGUUGUCUUGGUGGAUACUGUUGUGGGAAUCCUGACGGCCUAACUCCAUAGCUGAAGUUGGGAUGAUCCUUCCAUCCCGGAUUGUAUGUUUGUGCAUAAGGAUCAUACCUCCUCUGAGGCAUGCCUGGAAAUCCUCCAACUGCAUUGGCUUGUUCAGCGGGUUCUUCUUGAAGUGUAGGACACAUAUCAGUUGAAUGACCCAUAUUGUAACAAAUGCCACAAGUCUUCACCUGUUGCACAUUACCUACAACAAACUUUUCCACAAGAGAAGUGAGUUUAUCUAAACGUUGUUCAACAGAAGAAAUAUUUACCUCAUUCACAUUCCUUAAGGUGGCAUCUUGUCUGCUGCCAAAUUGUUGUGCAUUGGCAGCCAUAUUUGAUAUCAACUCCCUUGCUUGAGUAGGAGUCUUGUUCACCAACACACCUCCACUAGCAGCAUCUAUCAUACUCCUAUCCAUCAAUGAUGGUCCUUCGUAAAAAUAUUGAAUAAGAAGUUGAUCAGAAAUCUGAUGCUGAGGACAACUGGCACACAAUUGUUUGAAUCGCUCCCAAUACUCAUACAAAGUCUCCCCAGGAAGUUGUCUGAUCCCACAAAUAUCUUUUCUGAUGUUGGCAGCUCUUGAAGCAGGAAAGUACUUCUCGAGGAACUGCUUCUUCAAACCAUUCCACGUUGUAAUCGAUCCAGGAGGCAAGUAGUACAACCAAUCUUUAGCUAGCCCAUCUACAGAGAACGGAAAAGCACGCAGCUUAAUCUGCUCUUCAGUCACGCCUUGUGGCCUCAUACUUGAGCACACAACAUGAAACUCCUUGAGAUGUUUAUGAGGAUCUUCACCUCCAAGUCUACAUAUUGAAUGCAGAGUGGUUGUUGAUUCAAGUCUGGUUCAGCUAACUCUCUAAGAGUUCUUUCUACAGGUGCAAGUCUAUCCAUCACUUGUUCUUCUGAAUCGCUAGAUGAUUCAACUAAAUCAGGCACUGUAUCUGUUUUAGAAAGCAAAGGCGACGAGGAUCGUUGCUUAGCUCGCUUUGUCUGCUGUCUCAGCUGGCGAGCUGUCUUCUCAAUUUCAGGAUCAAACGAAAGUGUACCUGUACGAGAAGAACGAACCGUACACCAAGUAAAACGUAAAAAGGAUUAAAUAAAUGACACCAAUCCCCGGCAACGGCGCCAAAAUUUGAUGGGUGUCGAAGCCAACAAAAAUAAAUUCCUACUCUAAAUAAAUUGUGUAUAGUGAUUGAGCAGGGUCGUGUCCACAGAGAUCGGUAAUUAUUUAAAUCCUUUUGAAACGUAAAACGUAAAAUGGGGGAAUUGUUGACAAUAAUAAAAAUCAAAUUAAAAAUAACAAGAAUGCAAAUUAAAGUUGUAAUUCAAAUUGGAGAAAGCUCUGGUUGAAGGAAUUAACUCAGCUUGAUUCGACUACUGAUCAUUGAUUCAAAUAUAGAUUAUUAUUACUCAUGAAUAGACCGGUUAUAGCUACUGAGACCCUCUAAUAGCCAAUCUCUCCUUAACUAGUCGAUAACCAAGGUACGACCGUUGGUUAUUUCCCUAAUCAAUAGACAACCCUAGAUACGAUCAUAGAAUUUAAUCAAUUGACAGCCUGAAAAACCAGAGAGACCCAAAUCCUAAUCAACACAUAUGAUGAUUCAUUUAAAUUAGAUUGUUUAUUCUCACAACACAACUCUCUGCUAUGUUAUUUGUCACAAACAUUAAAUUCUUUAUACGAUGAAUCCUUUAAUUGACAAUAGAUUAAGUUGAUAAUAAAAUAGUGGCCAAUUACCUAAUUAACAAACAUAAUCAUGAAAAUAAUUCAGAGAAUAAACAAAUAUCCAAAAAGUAAUAAAACAAUUAAAGCACAAGAAAGAUCUCACAGUAGUGAUGAAUCAAAGCUUCAUUAACCUUCAACCAGAAAAAUGGGUUUAGUUCCUCAUAGAGAGAAGAGAAAAAUUAGAUCUAGGGUUUUUUUUUUCUCCAAUCCAAAAAUCCCCCCUUUUUCACAAUUGAUUCCUCCCUUAAAUACUCUCUCUCUCUUCUCUUUUAGAGUUCUAUUUAAAAUAAAAUACUAAUAUCUAAAAUAUUAAAUUCGUAAUUACAAAAAUAGCCAAAAAUAUAAAACACGUUAAACUAAAAACUGCAGGUCCGCAAUUGACAGCACGCGCCCACGCCUUAUCAACAAAGUUCUUCUGCCGCUCAUAAUUUCUUCAAGGGAACAAUCAUCCCUAAACAUCAUCUUGUAGCUCAAUUUUAUCACCAAUCAAUAGAAUUGCACCUACAAAAGUAAAUCACAGGUAAAUCACUAUUAUUAAAUGCAAAACAUCGAUAUUAAGGGAAGUAAACAAUGCAAAACUAGUGCCUAAAUUGCACUCUAACAAUAUCAUCUGUAAUUUUGUCAGGAUCGAUCAUUCUAAUUUUUAAGCAGAACUUUUUGUCAAUGGACAAACACCUCACACAGCUUGUCAGAGUUGUCCAUGCUGGCAACAGCGUNNNNNNNNNNNNNNNNNNNNNNNNNNNNNNNNNNNNNNNNNNNNNNNNNNNNNNNNNNNNNNNNNNNNNNNNNNNNNNNNNNNNNNNNNNNNNNNNNNNNNNNNNNNNNNNNNNNNNNNNNNNNNNNNNNNNNNNNNNNNNNNNNNNNNNNNNNNNNNNNNNNNNNNNNNNNNNNNNNNNNNNNNNNNNNNNNNNNNNNNNNNNNNNNNNNNNNNNNNNNNNNNNNNNNNNNNNNNNNNNNNNNNNNNNNNNNNNNNNNNNNNNNNNNNNNNNNNNNNNNNNNNNNNNNNNNNNNNNNNNNNNNNNNNNNNNNNNNNNNNNNNNNNNNNNNNNNNNNNNNNNNNNNNNNNNNNNNNNNNNNNNNNNNNNNNNNNNNNNNNNNNNNNNNNNNNNNNNNNNNNNNNNNNNNNNNNNNNNNNNNNNNNNNNNNNNNNNNNNNNNNNNNNNNNNNNNNNNNNNNNNNNNNNNNNNNNNNNNNNNNNNNNNNNNNNNNNNNNNNNNNNNNNNNNNNNNNNNNNNNNNNNNNNNNNNNNNNAGGCAUUAUUAUGAUGGAAAACUGCAAUGGUAUAUCUUGAUUAUUGGUAGAAUAGUGAAUAACUAUUUGGAGCAAUAAAAACAAAUAAGACAGAUGAGAAAAUGGCUAAAAUUAUAUAAGUGACCCAAAAGUUUUUACUAUUUCCAAGAAAUCCCCAAUCUGAAUGUACCAGAGGGAGGCAAGUUAGGAAUACAUUUCCUUCAUAGACAAUAACAACGAUGAGUGGAUGACAUCAAGCCACGUUGGUAUCAAUAUUGAAAUAAAGGUGCAAUUAUUCAGCCAAUGAGCCUUAGUACACAUCAAGAUAUAUAAAAGUCAAGAAAAUGAAAAUGUAUCCCAAUUAAAACUCUUUCUGGCUGCAUUUAGCUAUUUUUGUUUAGAGAUGGUAAUUUAAUCCGGACUCAGUCCGGACCCGGAUGAACUCAGAAAAUUUGGGUUGGAUUCAACCCGUACCGGAGUGAAUAAAAUUUGAUAUCCGAAUUCAAUAUUUUCAACCCGGAUGUUUCCGGAUCCAGAUCCAGCUUUGGGUAAACCCGCAUAUCUGAACCCGGAUCCGGAUAACUAUUUUAAUAUUAAUUUUUAAAUCAUUUUAAAAUAAAAAAAAAUUAGAAAAAAUCAGCCCUAAUGCCCUUCCACAGCCACGGCAGCCAAACCAAACCCAGACCUUUCCUCUCUCUCUCUUUAGCCCUUCUUUUCAACAAAUCAUCAUCGUUGCUCAUCAUCGUUUCGUCGUGUUCAUCUUCAUCUUCAUCAUCAGCUGCCGUUUGUCCAGCUAUGUCACGAGUUUUGGCCGCCGUUUCCGUUUGUCCACCUUCGCAAAUCGGGAUCUCGAUUUGGCCGCCAACACUUCUACCCCCUGGUGUUUUGCUUUGUCCUCGACAACUUCUUUGUUGAUAAAUUGACGGGCACUUAUGAAUGCGUUUGUCUCUGUUUCUUCAUUUACACCUUCCCAGUUGUUUGUUCAUUUGCUUUUUGGAAGGAAAAAAAAAAAUCAGCCGCCAUUUAUCCUUCCCCUUUUCUUGACCUAACCCCACAAAGCCCAAUUUGUCAUCAUCAUUCAUUGGCAAAUUUGUCAUCAUCAUGGUUGAGACAUCAUGAUUAUCUUUGAUAAUUGAAUUUGUGUAAUAUGUUAUCUUGGAUUUUAUUUCUAAGUAAUUGAUUUUGAAUUAUUUUCCAUUAUUGGUGUUAAUAGAUAGAAGAUUAGAAAGGAAUUCUUCACUGAAGAAAGAGAUGGGAAAUUGCAUCUUUUAGCAAUCAUCCGGGUUAUAAACCCGGAAUCCGGAAAUCCGGAUUUUUCCGGGUUUAACCCGGUCCGGACCCGUAUGAAAAAUAUCCGGAUUUACAUCCGGAUCCGGUAUUAAAAUUUAUCAUCCGGAUCCGAAACCGGGAAGAAAAAACCCGGACCCAGACCCGCAUUUUGCCAUCCCUAUUUCCAUUUGAAGUUAACAACAACGUUUCUUUCGUUUUGUGGGCGACUCGACUGAGCCAGCUGGAUUCUAGUGCUAGUAUGUGAAAAUAGAAGGCUAAUGAUUUCACGUUCACUAGCCCACCUCCCCUCCUCUCGUUUCCUCUGAAUCAAUUUUCACGUGUGGUACCGAUUGAAAAUAUCUCUGAUAUUUCGUGGACAUCUCUAUUGAAAAUAUCUCUGACAUUUCACUCAGGCAAACUUAUUAAUAUAAAAAAUCUAUGAUUUUUUCGUCUUAUACUGUAGAAAAAUUUGUCUAUACAUUAAUCUAGAUGUUUGAGGUGGUUUAUACACCUGUGGUAUAGAUUUAUAGGUUGAUUGAUACGUCUGUGGUAUAGAUUUUAUGUAUUUCAUUAUCAAAUGCUGGCCUUUGGGACCCUAUCUACAUCUAUUUAUAAGACUAACGGGUGCCAGUUAUGCCAUUACAAAUUAUCCCCUCUUCAUACAUUUCGUUAAAAUUCUUCUGAAACACCAAAACUAAAUAAUCGAAUAUGGCUUUGCGGGUCGAUGAUGCCAGCAACAAUGAGGCUGCAAUUAUCACUUGUUUAGUUUCUAUGCUUGCCGUGGUUUAUUUCGCAUGGAAUGUGAACAAAUCAAGGAAAGCAAAUGCUAAACUGCCACCAGGACCUCGCGGCUUGCCUGUAGUCGGAUACCUCCCAUUUCUCGGAACUACUGACUUGCACAAGAAAUUCACGGAAUUAUCCGGAGUUUAUGGUCCGAUCUUCAAGCUCUGGCUCGGAAAUAAAUUAUGUGUCGUGGUGAGCUCACCUUCCCUAGUUAAACAAGUGGUUCGUGAUCAAGAUACAACAUUCGCAGACCGUGACCCGCCGAUCUCUGGACUAGUGACCUCCUUUGGUGGCAAUGAUAUUACAUGGUCCAAUUACGGUCCCGAAUGGAGAAAGUUGCGCAAAUUUUUUGUGGGCAAGAUGAUGAGUAACGCAAGCCUUGAUGCUUGUUAUGCU